GUGAGAAUGUUUUUGUGUUUUUGUGGCCACCGCAGGUUCUCCUUUAUGGACAGGUGUCUAUCUGACACACCUUUGCAGUCAGGUGUGCUUUUAAGCUCUGAUGGCCCCGCCCACUCUGUUUUGAUGCUGCAUGGCUGCUAGCAUGUCAGUAGCAAACUCACCUGUCAAAGUCUGAUCAAGUCACUUCAAGACGACUUUGUGGAGGAAAUAUGUGUUGUAUUCUUCUUCUAAUGCCUUCAUUCACAUCAGCCUUGGGCCACACGGGACCUCUUUAAACCGGAGAUCAUGUUUUUCUGUCCAUGAUGUAGCAGGAGGCCUCCACUCUGCCAAGGAACCAGGAACCUCUGCUGCACUAAUCCAAGGACGGGCCGCAGCAGCUGGGAAUGCACAUUGACCUCAAUGGGAGGAGCCAAGGUCAGCAAAAGUGAGGUCAAAAAGAAAGAUCAGACCCGUUGAGCUGUGGGCAGAGGUCAGUGUCGAGAGCGUUUGAGGCGACCACCCAAGGCCUCUGACCACACUGCACGUUGCUCCCAACCAGAGUGGGAUGUGGAGGAAGACCUUCGGCGUGUUACCGCCUUAUUCCCUCUCUCCCUCCUGUCUCUUUCUCCCUCUCCUUUCGUUAACCCGGUACAGGCGUCACGUGCCCACAUAGUUGAUCCUGGCUGUUAAGGACAGCGGGGCACAGCUGCACUCGGGACUGGAUUUCACCCUCCUCGCGUUGGAAAACCUCUUCACACUCUCCCCUGGGCAGCUGCAGAUGACCAACUUAGCAUGUCGGCAGUGAUGUCUGCAUUAAUUUGGUGGCUAUGUAGACUCGUUAUGGUGAAGUAACGUAUCGUUAAAACAACAGUCCGGACUGGACCAGAUUAAUCAGACACAGACAAAGUCUAAUAGCGUACAGAGGCAAAUAGACCUGAACCUGGCAACCACACAAAUGUUGACCACAGUGAGUUGACGAGGAGGUUUAAAGGUCCAAUUCAAUAAAUAGACUGACAAAUAAAUGUUUAAACUAGAGUUGCAAUUCCUCAGA
Long non-coding RNA from Larimichthys crocea (large yellow croaker), 1030 nucleotides. RefSeq lists it as uncharacterized. The transcript has 3 exons. Lineage: Eukaryota; Metazoa; Chordata; Actinopteri; Sciaenidae. The record is from RefSeq and is a predicted model, not a curated record.